RNAcentral lists this ribosomal RNA (470 nucleotides) under uncultured bacterium. Its description in RNAcentral is "bacterial SSU rRNA". It matches the Rfam family "Bacterial small subunit ribosomal RNA", at positions 20 to 507 of the family's 1533-position model. The record is from RNAcentral.
UGGCUCAGGACGAACGCUGGCGGCGUGCUUAACACAUGCAAGUCGAACGGAAAGGCCCUUCGGGGUACUCGAGGUGGCGAACGGGUGAGUAACACGUGGGUGAUCUGCCCUGCACUCUGGGAUAAGCCUGGGAAACUGGGUCUAAUACCGGAUAUGAUCAUGCGCCUCAUGGUGUGUGGUGGAAAGCUUUUGCGGUGUGGGAUGGGCCCGCGGCCUAUCAGCUUGUUGGUGGGGUAAUGGCCUACCAAGGCGACGACGGGUAGCCGGCCUGAGAGGGUGACCGGCCACACUGGGACUGAGAUACGGCCCAGACUCCUACGGGAGGCAGCAGUGGGGAAUAUUGCACAAUGGGCGCAAGCCUGAUGCAGCGACGCCGCGUGGGGAUGACGGCCUUCGGGUUGUAAACCUCUUUCAGUACCGACGAAGCGUAAGUGACGGUAGGUACAGAAGAAGCACCGGCCAACUACGUG